AUACUUACCAGACAGAGGAGAUAGAUACCAUGUUCACGAAGGUGGCUUUCCCAGGUCGAGGCUCAUCCAUUGCACUUGGGGUGUGCUGACCUGCAAUUUCCCCAAAUGCGGGAAACUCAGCUGCAUAACUUGUGGUAGUGGGGGGAGCUGCGUUCGCGCUCUCCCAUG
Small nuclear RNA from Grammomys surdaster, 168 nucleotides. RefSeq annotates it as U1 spliceosomal RNA. NCBI's taxonomy places the organism in Eukaryota, Metazoa, Chordata, Mammalia, Rodentia, Muridae. The record is from RefSeq and is a predicted model, not a curated record. The transcript has a single exon.